GUGCUCGCUUCAGCAGCACAUAUACUAAAACUGGAAUGAUACAGAGAAGAUUAGCAUGGCCCCUGCGCAAGGAUGACACGCAAAUACUUAGGUCUCUGUCAACCACAU
This 108-nucleotide small nuclear RNA is filed under the name Ochotona princeps (American pika). The record is from RNAcentral. Lineage: Eukaryota; Metazoa; Chordata; Mammalia; Lagomorpha; Ochotonidae.